RNAcentral lists this non-coding RNA (247 nucleotides) under Daphnia magna. Its description in RNAcentral is "Bacterial large subunit ribosomal RNA". It matches the Rfam family "Bacterial large subunit ribosomal RNA", at positions 1997 to 2243 of the family's 2925-position model. The record is from Rfam by way of RNAcentral. Lineage: Eukaryota; Metazoa; Arthropoda; Branchiopoda; Diplostraca; Daphniidae.
UGGCGUAACGACUUCUCCGGUGUCUCAACCAAGGGCCUCGCGAAAUUGAAUUCUCGGUGAAAAUGCCGGGUACCCGCAGAAAGACGGAAAGACCCCGUGAACCUUUACUGUAGCUUGGCAGUGAUUUUAGAGUUUGAAUGUGUAGGAUAGGUGGGAGCCUUUGAAGCCUGGUCGCCAGAUCAGGUGGAGGCAACCUUGAAAUACCACCCUUGCAAACUUUGAAAUCUAACCUGCUCCUCUUACCGAG